This is a small nuclear RNA of Ceratitis capitata (Mediterranean fruit fly), 121 nucleotides long. RefSeq annotates it as U5 spliceosomal RNA. The transcript has a single exon. The record is from RefSeq and is a predicted model, not a curated record. NCBI's taxonomy places the organism in Eukaryota, Metazoa, Arthropoda, Insecta, Diptera, Tephritidae.
UUACCUUGACUUCUCUUCAAGUCUCGUAUAAAUCUUUCGCCUUUUACUAAAGAUUUCCGUGGAGAGGAGUCAAUAAUAGGUCUAUAAGAAUUUUUUGAAGGUUCGUCUAUCCUUUCGAGGU